ACGGAAGGCAGCAGUGGGGAAUAUUGGGCAAUGGGCGCAAGCCUGACCCAGCAAUGCCGCGUGAAGGAAGAAGGCUUUCGGGUUGUAAACUUCUUUUAAGUGGGACGACGAUGACGGUACCACUUGAAUAAGCUCCGGCUAACUACGUGCCAGCAGCCGCGGUAAUACGUAGGGAGCAAGCGUUAUCCGGAUUUACUGGGUGUAAAGGGCGUGUAGGCGGGACAUCAAGUCAGAUGUGAAAGCACGAGGCUCAACUUCGUGUCUGCAUUUGAAACUGACGUUCUUGAGUGUUGGAGAGGCUAACGGAACUCCUAGUGUAGCGGUGAAAUGCGUAGAUAUUAGGAAGAACACCAGUGGCGAAGGCGGUUAGCUGAACAAUAACUGACGCUGAGGCGCGAAAGCGUGGGUAGCAAACAGGAUUAGAUACCCUGGUA
RNAcentral lists this ribosomal RNA (434 nucleotides) under uncultured Oscillospiraceae bacterium. RNAcentral's name for it is "bacterial SSU rRNA". It matches the Rfam family "Bacterial small subunit ribosomal RNA", at positions 341 to 792 of the family's 1533-position model. The record is from RNAcentral. Lineage: Bacteria; Bacillati; Bacillota; Clostridia; Eubacteriales; Oscillospiraceae.